GAAGAACGCUGGCGGCGUGCUUAACACAUGCAAGUCGAACGAAGUGGCGAACGGGUGAGUAACGCGUAAUCAACCUGCCCUUCAGAGGGGGACAACAGUUGGAAACGACUGCUAAUACCGCAUACUGAAGGAGGGGUUUGCGUCUGAUUAGCUAGUUGGAGGGGUAACGGCACACCAAGGCGAUGAUCAGUAGCCAGUCUGAGAGGAUGAACGGCCACAGUGGGAGUGAGACACGGCCCAAAAUCCUACGGGAGGCAGCAGUGGGGAAUCUUCCGAAAUGGACGAAAGUCUGACGGAGCAACGCCGAGGGAGUGAGGACGGCCUUCGGGUUGUAAAGCUCUGUUAAUCGGGACGAGGUACCGGAAUAGCAAGCCACGGAUAAGUACGUGCCAGCAGCCGCGGUAAUUC
This 408-nucleotide ribosomal RNA is filed under the name uncultured bacterium. Its description in RNAcentral is "partial 16S ribosomal RNA". It matches the Rfam family "Bacterial small subunit ribosomal RNA", at positions 31 to 526 of the family's 1533-position model. The record is from RNAcentral.